RNAcentral lists this ribosomal RNA (439 nucleotides) under uncultured bacterium. RNAcentral describes it as "partial 16S ribosomal RNA". It matches the Rfam family "Bacterial small subunit ribosomal RNA", at positions 339 to 795 of the family's 1533-position model. The record is from RNAcentral.
CUACGGGCCGCACCAGUGGGGAAUAUUGCACAAUGGAGAAAACUCUGAUGCAGCAACGCCGCGUGGAGGAUGACACUUUUCGGAGCGUAAACUCCUUUUAUAUAGGAAGAAGAUGACGGUACUAUAUGAAUAAGCGCCGGCUAACUCCGUGCCAGCAGCCGCGGUAAUACGGAGGGCGCAAGCGUUGCUCGGAAUCACUGGGCGUAAAGAGCGUGUAGGCGGAUUAAAAAGUCAGAAGUGAAAUCCUAUAGCUUAACUAUAGAACUGCUUCUGAAACUCUUAAUCUAGAAUAUGGGAGAGGUAGAUGGAAUUUCUGGUGUAGGGGUAAAAUCCGUAGAGAUCAGAAGGAAUACCGAUUGCGAAGGCGAUCUACUAGAACAUUAUUGACGCUGAGACGCGAAAGCGUGGGGAGCAAACAGGAUUAGAUACCCGUGUAGUC